CCUUGCUCAGAGCAAACCCGUCGAAAGGCGGGGGCGCAGAGCCCCGAGGCUAACCCUCCUUUCCCUCCGGGAUGGAGAAUGCCAGUCGAGCCGCCAGG
Molecule: non-coding RNA, 98 nt
Filed under: Nitrospirota bacterium
Lineage: Bacteria; Pseudomonadati; Nitrospirota
Description: Nitrospirae bacterium c-di-GMP sequence
Rfam family: c-di-GMP-I riboswitch aptamer
About the family: GEMM was predicted in a large-scale screen for bacterial structured RNA regulatory elements. Genes associated with GEMM are involved in a diverse array of functions, including chemotaxis regulation, signal transduction, secretion and chitin.
Source: RNAcentral